This is a long non-coding RNA of Stegodyphus dumicola, 493 nucleotides long. The record is from RefSeq and is a predicted model, not a curated record. NCBI's taxonomy places the organism in Eukaryota, Metazoa, Arthropoda, Arachnida, Araneae, Eresidae.
AUUGGCACAGUGAAUGGCAGCUGAAAAAUUUUGACCGUUGUUUCUGGAAGUGGAAUGUUAGGAUGUAUUUGCACAAUAUCAACCAGAAACAUUACCUCCAUUUUAAAGUAUAUGUUAUUGAAUCCAUUCAUUCCCACUUGGGCAUUUUCAAGCAUACUAGUUGUUGAGUGUUAUGUCGGACUGUAAACACACAAGCAAAGCUUUUAUGAAGUGCCACAGAGAUUAUCACUCAAAGAAUGGGUGCAGGCCAACCACCAACACAGGAUAUUAAAAGAACAAUGAAAAUGAAGAUUUAACUAUAAGGAAAAAUCUAUGUAAUGUUAUUACUCAUAGCACUUAGUUGUUUCAUAUUAUUGUAAAUUUAUGUGAAUAUUCCUGUAUUCUGUUUAUUUUGCAGCUUAUGUUAUUGUAAAUUCAUGUAUAUGUUUUCAUUUUUUUUUGCUCUGUUAUGCAUUUCAUACAAUAAUUGUUUGUUGUACAUAUUAAUUAUAUU